ACUCCUACGGGAGGCAGCAGUGGGGAAUAUUGCACAAUGGGCGCAAGCCUGAUGCAGCCAUGCCGCGUGUAUGAAGAAGGCCUUCGGGUUGUAAAGUACUUUUCAGCAGUGAGGAAGGCAGAUGUAGUUAAGUUAAUCGUCUGCAUUUAUUUUGACGUUAGCUGCAGAAGAAGCACCGGCUAACUCCGUGCCAGCAGCCGCGGUAAUACGGAGGGUGCGAGCGUUAAUCGGAAUUACUGGGCGUAAAGCGCAUGCAGGUGGUUUGUUAAGUCAGAUGUGAAAGCCCGGGGCUCAACCUCGGAAUAGCAUUUGAAACUGGCAGACUAGAGUACUGUAGAGGGGGUAGAAGUUUCAGGUGUAGCGGUGAAAUGCGUAGAGAUCUGAAGGAAUACCGGUGGCGAAGGCGGCCCCCUGGACAAAGACUGACGCUCAGAUGCGAAAGCG
RNAcentral lists this ribosomal RNA (444 nucleotides) under uncultured bacterium. RNAcentral describes it as "bacterial SSU rRNA". It matches the Rfam family "Bacterial small subunit ribosomal RNA", at positions 335 to 761 of the family's 1533-position model. The record is from RNAcentral.